RNAcentral lists this ribosomal RNA (508 nucleotides) under uncultured bacterium. RNAcentral's name for it is "partial 16S ribosomal RNA". It matches the Rfam family "Bacterial small subunit ribosomal RNA", at positions 28 to 523 of the family's 1533-position model. The record is from RNAcentral.
GAUGAACGCUAGCUACAGGCUUAACACAUGCAAGUCGAGGGGAAACGACAUCGAAAGCUUGCUUCCGAUGGGCGUCGACCGGCGCACGGGUGAGUAACGCGUAUCCAACCUGCCCACCACUUGGGGAUAACCUUGCGAAAGUAAGACUAAUACCCAAUGAUAUCUCUAGAAGACAUCUGAAAGAGAUUAAAGAUUUAUCGGUGAUGGAUUGGGAUGCGUCUGAUUAGCUUGUUGGCGGGGUAACGGCCCACCAAGGCGACGAUCAGUAGGGGUUCUGAGAGGAAGGUCCCCCACAUUGGAACUGAGACACGGUCCAAACUCCUACGGGAGGCAGCAGUGAGGAAUAUUGGUCAAUGGACGAGAGUCUGAACCAGCCAAGUAGCGUGCAGGAAGACGGCCCUAUGGGUUGUAAACUGCUUUUAUAAGGGAAUAAAGUGAGUCUCGUGAGACUUUUUGCAUGUACCUUGUGAAUAAGGACCGGCUAAUUCCGUGCCAGCAGCCGCGGUAA